UGGGGAAUAUUGGACAAUGGGCGCAAGCCUGAUCCAGCCAUGCCGCGUGAGUGAUGAAGGCCCUAGGGUUGUAAAGCUCUUUUGGCGGGGACACGGCGACCGCGAAUAACGGUUGUUAAUGAUGGUACCCGAAGAAGAAGCACCGGCUAACUAC
RNAcentral lists this ribosomal RNA (154 nucleotides) under uncultured bacterium. RNAcentral's name for it is "partial 16S ribosomal RNA". It matches the Rfam family "Bacterial small subunit ribosomal RNA", at positions 355 to 504 of the family's 1533-position model. The record is from RNAcentral.